RNAcentral lists this ribosomal RNA (441 nucleotides) under uncultured bacterium. RNAcentral's name for it is "bacterial SSU rRNA". It matches the Rfam family "Bacterial small subunit ribosomal RNA", at positions 8 to 486 of the family's 1533-position model. The record is from RNAcentral.
AGAGUUUGAUCCUGGCUCAGGGUGAACGCUGGCAGCGUGGAUAAGGCAUGCAAGUCGAGUGGGUUUAGACCCACGGCAAACGGGUUAGUAACACGUAGGGAAUCUACCCCCGCCUCGAGCAUAACCCUCCGAAAGGAGGGCUAAUUCUCGAUGGUCUCACAUAACGAAAGUUAUAUGAGUAAAGAAUUUCGGGUGGGGAAGAUCCUGCGUCCUAUCAGCUAGUUGGUAAGGUAAUGGCUUACCAAGGCUAUGACGGGUAGGGGGUGUGAGAGCACGACCCCCAACACUGGGACUGCGACACUGCCCAGACACCUACGGGUGGCUGCAGUCGAGAAUCUUCGUCAAUGGGCGAAAGCCUGAACGAGCGACGCUGCGUGGAGGAAGAAGGCCUUCGGGUUGUAAACUCCUGUCGUGUGGGAAGAACUUGACGUACCACACAAG